This 457-nucleotide ribosomal RNA is filed under the name uncultured bacterium. RNAcentral describes it as "bacterial SSU rRNA". It matches the Rfam family "Bacterial small subunit ribosomal RNA", at positions 340 to 789 of the family's 1533-position model. The record is from RNAcentral.
UACGGGAGGCAGCAGUGAGGAAUUUUGCGCAAUGGCCGCAAGGCUGACGCAGCAACGCCGCGUGGGUGAUGAAGGCCUUCGGGUCGUAAAGCCCUGUCAGGUGGGAAGAAAGGCCUGGAGAGGAAAGGUUUCAGGUUUGACGGUACCACCAGAGGAAGCACCGGCUAACUCCGUGCCAGCAGCCGCGGUAAUACGGAGGGUGCGAGCGUUAUUCGGAAUUACUGGGCGUAAAGCGCGUGUAGGCGGGGGGACAAGUCUGAUGUGAAAGCCCUGGGCUUAACCUGGGAAGCGCAUUGGAAACUGUUUUUCUUGAGUACUGGAGAGGAAGGGGGAAUUCCCGGUGUAGAGGUGAAAUUCGUAGAGAUCGGGAGGAAUACCAGUGGCGUAGGCGCCCUUCUGGACGGUAACUGACGCUGAGACGCGAAAGCGUGGGGAGCAAACAGGAUUAGAUACCCUG